AGAGUUUGAUCCUGGCUCAGAUUGAACGCUGGCGGCAUGCUUUACACAUGCAAGUCGAACGGUAACGCGGGCUUCGGCCUGGCGACGAGUGGCGGACGGGUGAGUAAUGCAUCGGAACGUAUCCUUUUGUGGGGGAUAGCCCGGCGAAAGCCGGAUUAAUACCGCAUAAGCUCUGAGGAGGAAAGUGGGGGACCUUCGGGCCUCACGCUGAAGGAGCGGCCGAUGUCAGAUUAGCUAGCUGGUGGGGUAAAGG
This 253-nucleotide ribosomal RNA is filed under the name uncultured beta proteobacterium. RNAcentral's name for it is "partial 16S ribosomal RNA". It matches the Rfam family "Bacterial small subunit ribosomal RNA", at positions 8 to 263 of the family's 1533-position model. Lineage: Bacteria; Pseudomonadati; Pseudomonadota; Betaproteobacteria. The record is from RNAcentral.